RNAcentral lists this transfer RNA (63 nucleotides) under Sipunculus nudus (marine worm). RNAcentral's name for it is "tRNA-Tyr". The record is from RNAcentral. Lineage: Eukaryota; Metazoa; Annelida; Sipuncula; Golfingiida; Sipunculidae.
AGCAGCGUGGCCGAGAAAUAGGCAGUAGACUGUAGAUCUUCCAACGGGUUCGCCCCGCUGCUA